UCCCCCCCUCAGCUCCCCCCAAACCCUCCCCUCACUGUACCAGUAUGUUACUCUGAGUCAACCACUGCAGGGAAGCCCUGGUUUUGUCUUUUAACCAAUGAGCUGAGACCUGCCCCAUCCAAUCAGAACUGCACAGCUAGAUCCUCAUUUGCAUCGAAACCGACCAGUCAGAGCUACUCCAUAACAACCAACCAGAAUGGCAUGAUUCCGACCAAUCAGAACUGGGACCAAUUUUGAAACUAUAUUUGCAUAAAACUGGACCAAUUGGAAAUUUGGGAGGGAGGGAACUUCCUCUAUAAGAGGCAGUGUCCCGUCCGGUCCCGGUCCCGUGUGUCUCAGUAGAGUUCGCUUUCGGUGUUUAGGGUAAGCCUGGUUCGCGAACUGUGUCACCUGCUGCUAGGGUCUCCCCUUUCUGUACGAGUGACAGGGGUAACAGAGCCCGUUCUUUUGUUUAACUUCCUUUUUGUGGCGUGGCCUCAGCUUCACUCUAGAACCCGUGUUCUUGCUGCCGGUGCUUUUGCCUCCACCUCAGAUUUCUCCCUCCGGGAGCCGUCUUGACCUCCGGGAGGCUGUUCCUACCUCAGAAAAGCGCGUUCUUUGUUCCUCACUCAGGGAAGCUGUCUGUUUUCUCCCUCUCAGGCAAGCUAUGUUUCACCCCCCAGAAAAGCCUCUUUUUUCCUUCCUUGUUCCGGGAAGUGAUUCCUACCUACCUCGCUCAGCGCAGCUUCUCGGCGCCUUGGUUUUCUCUCUUUACGAAGUGGAAGCUUCCAGUGGGCAUUUCUCACUAAAACGGGUUGGGGCGUGACCCUCUGCGGGGGCGGGCCGGGAGAAAAGGGAGGAAGGAAGGUCUCCCAGGGAGGGUGUCCUAUCCAGAUGGCUUCCCUUUCUGAUCUGAAAAGACUUCACUGGAAGGGCGAUGAGUGGCUCACAUUCUGAAGGAGCUGCCAUCGGGGCUAAAAUAACCAGACGGAUUAAGCAGAAAAACAAACAGCCUGAGUUUUCCAUGAUGGUUCUCAGCUUCCCGGGCCUCCCACUUCCAGCUUCUAAUCUGGUAGGAGCUAGAAGGCAGCCCAGGGCAUCUUCUAGAUGAAAGGCAGGGGGAAAAGAGGUGCAAACAACGAAAGGAAUAUGGAAGCAAAGUAUGUUGUCCCUGGGAAAAAUGCGUUCUAGAACUGGCCCUGAAGAGCACACCUCCCCGCUGCCAAUGUAUUCCCUGGACGUAGAUGCCUGCCAGCCUGGCUGUAAUCCCAGAGAAGAUAGAAAUAGCAGAGCUCAUGGCUCCAACUUCCAUCCUCUCUUUGGCCUGAAGUCUUUCUCCACUGUUGCCGGAGUUUUAAUUUCCUUUAUGGCCUUGGCCACCUCAAGCCCCCUUCUGGGAUGAUGGAACUUUGUUAGAGCAUCAGGAUUGGGCUGGCAUGCUUUCCAGAGGUCGUGGUCUAGAGAAACACGAGAACAUUUCAUUAUCUCCUGAGGAGGCACAGUCAGAAUGUCAUCGUCCCUCCUGUUUCCUUCAAGCCAAGUGACCCCACCAUGUGAUUUAACCCCUCACCACAAUCUCCAUCAACUCUACUUGCCCCCAACCCCAUCAUAUAAUCUAAGGAAAAGCAGUGUGCUUGCUAACUCCAGAGAGGAAACCCAUUCCACACACACUGCUACAGCCUACUAGAGAACUCCUGGAGUUAAGCUGAACGUGCUCAAGGAUGAACACCUGGAAUUGUUUCCACGAAUGCAGCUAAUGUGUAAGAAACGACUCAUGUAAUACAGAGUUCCUUUGAACCUCAUAGUUUUCAUUUCUAAAGGUUUUUACAAAGUGUUAAUUUUAUGUAUCAACUAGGCUGGGCCAUGUUGCCCAGACACUUGAUCAAACAUUAUUCUGGAUGAUCCUGUGAAGAUGUUUAUGGAUGAGAUUAACAUUUAUAUUGGUGGACUUGGAGUAAAGCAAUUUACCCUUAAUAAUGGAGGUUGGCUUCAUCCAGUCUGUUGAAGGCCUUAAUGAAACAGAUUGACGUCCCUUGAGCAAGACUCAACUUGCAGUUCUUCCCUGAAUCUCCAGCUGCUGGCCUAACCCAUCAGAUUCUAGGGCUAGGCUCACCCAGCUUCCACAAUCAUAUGUGAUCAACAGUCUGAGGGCCUGCCAGCUACACGCCAAGCUCCAGCUGCGUGCACUCGAUCACAGCUAGUUUUCAUUUGAUUCUCACGACUCCGACAUGAGAGGUGCCUUCCUCAACAUUUUCGAAGCUCACACCAGCUUGUGGCCUCCAUCUACCCGGUCCAGAAGCAGAAGCAACACCAUGUGCGAGCUGUUUGUCUUUCUCGAAGUCUGCCUGCUAAGGUUGGAGCAUAAAUGGCAGGUAAACCCAAUUGGAGGAAGGAUGAGAAGCAAGUCAAAAUAUGGCCAGAGACCAGAGUUGGGCCCUGGACCAACCGUUACCCAUCAUGAGCCAAAAACUCCCUCUGCCACUGCGUCUGAAGAGGAACCUUCUCCAGGCUGAAAACAUGAAGAGCAGAGCUGGGUAUUAUCAGUAGAUGACAGCCUGGAAUGGUGGUCCCAACAUUGUGGUCAGUUGAAGAUUAUCAUCUGACUUACUCACUGGACAUACCGAUAAGGCCCUUGACCUUGUGGCAGGGGUACUUUGAAAUGGACCACUGUAAUUAAGUUCUGAGGGUGUUUAAUCAAGGGACCUAAAACAGAUACAUGGAUACAGAAGGGUUUAGGGAAUUGAAGGAAGUCUCCUGAGAUAUAAGACUUAACACCCUGGUAAUACCCUGGCAUGGAUCCCAGGAGAGAGUGUGAACUUGCCGGUAGGAUGGCUCCUAGAACAAUAAAAAAGGUGAUGGUCCACAUAGAGAGAAGCCGGAAUGCCAGAAUUAUAGUGGUAGACAGUGGAUGAAGGGAUCAAAAGGCUGUGGGAAUGAUCAUGUGGCAGUGAAUUUGCUAGGUAUGGCCAAAUGAUCCACUAAAUGCUCGUGUUUCACAGGAAUGCCCAAAGGACAGUAGCAGAAAUUGCUGCAGACCUUGGCUUGCUUAUAGCAAUAGGGGUAGGACCCUGAAGUAAUAAAGGCCAGGAGGCAGCCCUUAACUGCCAAAGUCAAGAGGUUAUAAUUAUUGAAAAGACUGGUGAGGUCAGAGUGAGACCUAAGGAGGCCUGAUCUGUAGAGUUAUGGGAACACUUAAUAGAACAUCGGGUUCCCAGGAGAAAGUAGAUGAGAUGCUGAUCAUGGUAUUACUCAGCUUGAAUCAGCAGGAAGAAAAUGAAGAUGGAUGAUGGGAGUUGAAGUGUAUUUGAGAGGAGGGUGGUCAUCACAAUACAAUCACCAUCCCUUGCACAGAUUCUAGAUGUGGGCCAAUAUUCACCCUGGGACGCUGUCUGAUGAGGUGGCUGGGUUUCCAGGCAACAGCCAGGGGGACCCUGCAACACCACGAUGGGUGAACAGGCUAUUUUUCUAGUUCUUUCCCAAAAGGAACUAUGGCUAUUUAUUUGGGUCUCUAUAUACAGGGCAAAGGAAGAUAUCCAGAUAUUUUGAGGACUGUUGGGCACAGGGUCUGAACUGACAUUGCUAUCCAGAGGCCUACAGUAUACUGGGGCAUAUGAGGGUAAUUUAGGAAACUACUUUUCAUAGUAAAAUCUUCACGAUUAAUGUCUAUUUAUUUAUUUGUUUGGUUAGUAUCAUCUCAUUAGCAAACAACAAAGAGAAGUGCAAAUAGGUAACCUCAAUUUCCCAGAGUAUAUACAGGUGGGGCAAAAGUAGGUUUACUGUUGUUUGCAUAGAAAAUAAUACAAUAAUUAAUAAGUAACAUUAUAAAAAUAAAUAUGUGUUUCAUGUACUCACAACGGUAAACUUACUUUUGCCCCACCCUGUACAGGGGUAGUAGUACUUUAUAUGACCAGUGUCAAAUCUUAUACUAUGAAAAUACCCAUUUCAAAGCCCAGGAAAAAGCCAGUGAUUUCAGUACUCACGAUCCCAAAAGCAGAACUGUCCUCAGAGGACUGUUGCUAGCAUGGAAGGAGAGAGUGAAUAUGAAAAUACUUUGUAAACCAUGAGGCCCUAGACAUGGGUGGGUGCUGAUGAUGAUAGUGGUAGUUACAGAGAUGAUGGUGAUACAGACCAAUUUGUUAACCUUGAAUAACCAUUUCCCUUGCAUGCUUCUCUCUAGAUAGUUUACUAGAAGCUCUGUCAUGCAUGUCUCUUGUUCAACCAGGUCCCUCCUCCCUCACAAUCUCAGUGGGUUCCACUCUAUGGACCAUAGAUGUCAACACUGGCCUGUCCCACAUAAUGUGCGUCAACAUUAGUCAAAGGGUGGAGUACAGAAAAGAAGGGGCAUGACAACGAGGAAGGCCUGUCUAAUGAUCCCCAGGAAAGCGUCAUAAAUCUCUUGUCUUUACACCACACGGACUGCUCACUUUCUAAUGGCUAAAUUCUCUCGAGACAGUUACGUAGAAAUUUCCACUUUGGUGGGGAAGGCAGACAUAGUAAAACAUUGUAAAAGUACACAUAAGUAUCCCAGGUUCUCAGAGCACACAGCUACAAUUUCAUUUUGGUUGGAAGAUAAAAAGACUUUAUGGAGGAAUUAGGAGUGAGGAAAAAAAAGAAUAAAAGUUAAACAAAUGCGAGAGGUUUA
Molecule: long non-coding RNA, 4621 nt
Organism: Myotis myotis
Lineage: Eukaryota; Metazoa; Chordata; Mammalia; Chiroptera; Vespertilionidae
Exons: 5
Source: RefSeq, a predicted model, not a curated record